Molecule: ribosomal RNA, 427 nt
Filed under: uncultured bacterium
Lineage: Bacteria
Also listed under: 1 other name
Description: bacterial SSU rRNA
Rfam family: Bacterial small subunit ribosomal RNA
Source: RNAcentral
UGGGGAAUCUUCCGCAAUGGACGAAAGUCUGACGGAGCAACGCCGCGUGAGUGAUGACGGCCUUCGGGUUGUAAAGCUCUGUUAAUCGGGACGAAAGGCCUUCUUGCGAAUAGUUAGAAGGAUUGACGGUACCGGAAUAGAAAGCCACGGCUAACUACGUGCCAGCAGCCGCGGUAAUACGUAGGUGGCAAGCGUUGUCCGGAAUUAUUGGGCGUAAAGCGCGCGCAGGCGGAUUGGUCAGUCUGUCUUAAAAGUUCGGGGCUUAACCCCGUGAUGGGAUGGAAACUGCCAAUCUAGAGUAUCGGAGAGGAAAGUGGAAUUCCUAGUGUAGCGGUGAAAUGCGUAGAUAUUAGGAAGAACACCAGUGGCGAAGGCGACUUUCUGGACGAAAACUGACGCUGAGGCGCGAAAGCCAGGGGAGCGAACG